AGUAAACUAAUUUUUCAAUUUUUACCUUUAAUUUUUGACUCUUUGUCUUAUUAAAAAAAUUUGAUUGAUAUUUUUGUUUUUAUUAGAUGAUAAAUCAUAAAUAGUACUUUACGUGUGACUAAUUUUUUUCUAAUUUCCUGAAAAUUUUUCAAAUAAGACGGAUGGUCAAACGUUGGACACGAAAACC
This 187-nucleotide microRNA precursor is filed under the name Oryza brachyantha (malo sina). RNAcentral describes it as "MIR812 microRNA precursor family". It matches the Rfam family "MIR812 microRNA precursor family". Lineage: Eukaryota; Viridiplantae; Streptophyta; Magnoliopsida; Poales; Poaceae. The record is from Rfam by way of RNAcentral.